UGACUGGGUCCCAUAUGCAAAGUACUGC
This 28-nucleotide non-coding RNA is filed under the name Mus musculus (house mouse). Lineage: Eukaryota; Metazoa; Chordata; Mammalia; Rodentia; Muridae. The record is from RNAcentral.